GUACAGGCUAACGGCAUGCCACCGGCUCACUUAAUCCUGCUAACCAUGGGGAUUAAUUGGCAUUUGAGAGUUCAACAGUCUAUGAUGAAUGUGUUUUAUACAUUUGCAUUAUUAAAGUGGCUGAGAAACGACCUAAGCCUACAUGACUUUGCAAAUAUCAGAAUUGCUGACCCUUUCACACUAUGAUUUUAAAUGCUUGUGUUGUCUGGACUUUUGGUGGAUCGAGGUGAGUGCACGCUACACGAUCGCUCGCAGAGGAGGCACACAUAUCACACAAUCUUUCAGAAACUUUUUUGGUUUGUUUGUUCAUUUUUGUGGACCGUCAUUUCCACCAGCUGCCUCCGGACAGCUUGCAUCGUCAGGACUCAAACUCGCAGUCUCCCAACAGUGAGGUGAACGCGUUUCUGUUCUGUGCAGCUUGGGAUCCCCAAAUCCUGUUCAAAUCUCGUUCAAACCAACCCAAAAGCUUCGAUCAUGUGAUACUGUCACUAUUUUGCAUGAAAACAAAAGAUUUUUUAAAAAAAAGAAAAAAAGAUAAAAAGAGAAACGUGAAAGAAAUAGCGGUUGUGGGCAGGGAAGCGUGUCGGUUCUGCAGAGAGAACCAGGUGUAUAGAGCAGACAACAUAGAUCAUUUGUUUGUUUGUUUUUAUUUUUGCCGUUCCUAACGGCACACUUGCCGUUCCUACCCACAAACGUGUGGGUAGGAUAGUUGCCGAGCUCCGAAGAAGUAGUCCGUGACUGGAGCUGAAAUCGUGUAGUGUGCACCUGACCACAAAGCUAAAGGCAUAACACUUGAGCUUAUGUGACUUUUAGUGAAAACUACAGAAACUAAUGCUAAUACUAAACUAAUAGGGUUUUUUUUUGUUGUUGUUUUUUUUUUUGCAUUUCUUGAACAAGUCUUCAUCUUUGGAAUAUAAAGGAAUAUAGGAAGGAAUGGUCAGUGGUAGCUCAGUGGUUAAGAAAUUGGGUUACUGAUCAGAUGGUCAACGCCCAGAACCACUAAGCUGCUACUGUUGGGCCCUUGAGUAAGGCCCUUAACCCUCAACUGCUCAGAUGUAUAAAUGAGAUAAAUGUUAGUCGCACUGGGCUUCUGCCAAAUGCCGUAAAAUGUGAACGUGAAUAUCACAGAGGAAAUGUAAAGAGAGGAAAAGUUCAAAUGCUUAAUAAUAAGAAGAAUAAGAGGUGUUUUAGUAGCACUGUGGCUGCAUGAUUUAAAGGAGAUAAGAGUGCACUAUUGUCCACUAUUAAUACACGGGUCUUUAAAGGUUUUAACCUGAUUAACUACAAGAAUAAAGAACACUUUUACUUUUAAAAUGAGCCAGAAAUACAGCGUUAGCAAGCAAGCACCUAUAUUCUUAUCAUCGGGACGAUGCUGGGAGAAUUACUGCAAAAUGCACAACCGAUGAUACACAAAUUAUCCAUCAUCCAUCUUCUACCACUUACUCCUUUUCAGGGUCAGGGGGCUGGAGCCUAUCCCAGGGAGCAUGGGGCACAAGGCGGGGACUUGUCUGCCGCACCCAAACCUUCUCUCAUAGACACAUGAUGAGCAACAAGAACUGCAAGAAAGUUGGAAAACCAGGCAACGGACAUCAUUGCCAAUAAAUGGCUUUUAGGCUUCUUUUUAAAGCAAACGUACAAUGAGAACUAGGCUAAAAGCAUGAUUUCAUAUAAAAAAAAAUAAAAAAAUAUUGAAACCUAGGAGAACAAAAAAAAAAAAAAAAAGCAUCCAAAAAGUGCUUCCUGUAAUCCCUGUAUCAGCAUGCGAGAGUGCUGUCGCAUGGCCUGCCUUUACAUACACCACAGAAAGCAAAGGAUUAUGGGGCUCCUGGUGAUACAAGGGGCGUGAAAUGAGGGAAGCGUUUGUGGAUAUGGAACAGUAUAACCGAACCCAGAGCUCAGCCCUGAACGCUGUAUUUCAGAUAAGUUGUGGUUAAUAACAUAUAUGCAAAAGCCGACACACAUGUGUAGUCAAAUGACGCAACGGUUCCCCCUAGAACUCUCACAGAUUUUUGAGUCUUCCAAUAUAUUACGUGUUAUAGUUUAAUCUACUUUCAAUCAUGGUCUCACGACACACCAGUUUUUCUUCCAGCACUGGUUUUGUGCAUACUGCUGUAUACGCACUGAAAUAUUACACGUGUGUGUGUGUGUGUGUGUGUGUGUGUGUGUGUGUGUGUGCGUGUGUGUGUGUUAUGUCUGUAUGUAUUGUUUAUGUUUCAGCCCAAAACUGGAAGAGAAAAAAAACAACAACAACUAAAUGUAUGCAAAGAUACUGCUGCUGAUAUACUUCUUUGCCCGUGCUUUUAUUUAGUUUGAUAUAACAGACAGGAUUUAUAAUCCUGUGUAUAAUCCUGUGUAUAAUCCGGUGUCUAAACAUCAGUGUUAUAUCUGGAUGGGUAUGUUGUUUUUUACCUGUAAUGCAGGCAUGAUUUCAUUUCUUUCUUUUCUUUCUUUCUUUCUUUUUUCGUCCACCAUUGCUGUCUCGCCACUCAUGGAGAAACAUUAGGGCUUUUGGCCUUCAACAGAUAUUUAUUUUUGGACACUGUAUUGCUUCUUGUAACUGUCAUCAUAAAUUGUGGUGUUUUUUUUUUUUUUUCCAAGGAAAUUUAUGACUUAAGACUUACUGAGGCACUAUUAACUGCUCAUGGCAUAGUGAAUGUGACAGAAUGCCAGCCAUUACCAUUGAGCGUACACACACACACACACACACCACACACACACACACACACACACACACACACACACACACACACACACACACACACACACACUUUUGACUUUUACACUUGUAAAAAAAAAAAAAAAAAAAAGUGCAAAUGUAGCAACCAAGUCUUCCAUUUCAAAUGAUAUCAGUAGCUCAGGUUUAGUUUUUGCUGUAAAAGAUGCUGUGGCCUGUUAUGAGGGAUGGCAAUAUGAACGGAAACCUGAAAAACUAGACACCAGGCUGGGGUUAGUUUCUGCUUAUUCUCCUUAUUCAUCGUUCAUACUUUAUUAUUUAAUGUGGCAACAUUUUUAUUUUUAGACUUGCAUCUCUUUAAAGAUUCUAUCACCUCGAAUCUGAAGCGUGGAAAUAUUCCAUAUCAACACCAGGACAUAAGAAGUACAGUGUUGGUCUGAAGAGAGAGAGAGAGAGAAAGAGAGAGAGAGAGAGAGAUUACAUGUAAUCAUGCAUAGUCUAGUCUGGAAACAAGAUCCCACAUAAACACCGCAAUAAGCAGCUCUACGAAAGCAAUAGAUAUCCAUUCGCAGGUGUAUGUUUUUAGAUGCACCUUUUUAGAUUCAACUGAAAUUAGAGAAAGACAAAUGACAUUAAAGUAAAGCUCCAUUUACUUUACUCACACUUGGAAAGCAAUAGACGCAUGACAAAGCGCAUUGUCACAUACGGGCAUUUCUCUUCUGUCAUUUUUUUCUAGCUUGUUCUUUCCUUAGCUUUUGCCACAUGGUUUGACCAGCCGUUACGAAGGACGAUGAGUUCACAGGCUGACGUGUGAAUUUGCUACAGAAUACCGGCGGGUUUUUGUGUAAUCGUCUUUAGAGCUCAACAAAGACACUUUGAAACACUGUGAUUAGACUGUAGCACUGUCCGAGCAACUUCCCCAAGUACACGCAAACACGCGUUACUGUUCACUGACUGUGCCCAGUUAGUACUGGAAACGUGUAAGGACCGUAGGUUUUAAGCGUAGAAUAUUAUCAUGAGAUUAUUUUUUUUAUUAUUCAUUUCUAACUUUCUCCACAAUGACAUAGUUCUAACUGGCUAUACUUUUAAGGUGUCGUUAUGAAUGUGUAGCUAUAGGGUUCCAUCUGUUUCCAUAUGCCAUCGUGUUAAUGUUUACUCUGCCCUUCCAAAAAAAAACAAAAAUGUAGCUAAACACUUGCCUUGCUGUUGUAAAAUUCACUGAAAAUGUUCGUCGAUUUCAAAAAAACAACGCCAGGAUCUUCUGAUGUAAACAAAACACUGUUUUAACCGUUUCCAAGCCCCAAAGACAAAAUCAGAUUCGAUCCAAUGGUCACACGCAAUCCUCAAAGUUUCUCAGCUACCUGUAUUGAUGUUUUUGUGUUAAUUCCAGGCAUUAAUCAUGAGCGAGCUGAAUCAGAGACAAUGGACACGUGAAGGAUCUAAUAAACUGAAACAUAUGGAGUCAGUGAAUUAUGCUAAAGAACACUCUUUGUAAAAUGGACCAAGCUCAUGACAUGAAAUAAGACAAGAUCAUCAUUACAGUUCAAACGCUAGUGUGUAAAUAGUGUAGGGCGCUGAUAGAAAGAAAUGUGGUAUAAACAUAUCAUGGUGUAAAUCUGAAAUUAGUCAGUCCUCUGAAUAUUAUGCAAACCAUCCAGUAUUGUGUGGUAAUGUAGCAUCACCCAGAAACAGAAAUGAUGUCAGAAUACACCGACCGUCGCUUGUUUUUAGCACCAUACCUUAAAUCACAGAGCGUACAAUAGUAUUAACAUAUUUCCUUUAGUUAAAUGACUGCAAGCUUGUUUGUGUGAUUGUCUAACAGUUCGAUUCACAGCAUUUUAGGGAGUGUGAUCCCAAAAGAGUUUUGGGAACAGAAACGCAUUACAGAAAACAAACAUGAUAUCCAGAUGCAGUACGGUAAAGUCUUACUAAACCAAAAUACACCAAAGUUUCCUGUUAAAUAUCUUAAAAAAUGCACAAAAUGUACACUUUCUAUGAUACUUACCACUAACAGCUAUGCCAAAAAUAAUAAUAAUAAUAAUAAUAAUUAUACGGUUGAAUAAUAUUCAUACAGAUACAAGUUUAUCAGCGCCGUUUAUUUGAUUUAUUUUACAUUAGGAAAGACAGUACCAAACAGAUAAUACAAAAAAAAAAGGUCUUGCAGAUAUGUUGGAAUGAUUCAUUAAAACAGUCGUGAAAUCCACAUAUGAACUUAUAACGAGCAUUAUUUCAUACAAUUUUAAUACGUAAUCACUUGAACUAGAUCCGAAAGCUGUACAUUUACGACGUCCACGUAUUUUCCAACGCAUUUCAUCGACGUCAUUUGCAAGUGGUCCGUUCCGAAAUGUAAGAGAAACGGUGCUCAGAAUUCUUGUUGAAUCAUCGUUACGAUCACAUACAGCAAGGCAUGUUCACGCUGUUUACUUUUCCACAUGUUUCCUUUUGUUUUUCAUUUUAAAAGAUGAAUUGAUGUCUCAGAUGAAAAGGCCAUGAACCAGCAACGUGCAAAUAUAUGAGCCACUUUUGAGAUUACUCGCAUUGUCGUUUUGUAAUGUGGUAACAUGGUAUUUAUUCUCAUCGCAUCAGCCCGUUGGCCUCCGUAUUGGAUGAGAUGCAGUUUGAAUGGCAAUUCGGUACACAGCAAAAUCCCCAGUGUUGAUUUAACACCCGGAGUGUUGAAUUUACACCCUGCAGUGUUUAUAUAAAUCCACUGGACACAAAUGAACACUCCGGGUGUUAAUUCAACACUGGGGAUUUUACUGCGUAGUACUGCUCAAUUCUCUAGAUUAGAAACUAAAGAAUUAUACAUCACCAGAAGCAACAUUAAAAGCUUGCUUUUGUUUUCUUGAUGGAUUCCAGGAGGUUGUCAGAACGGUGACCUGGGGUUUGAAACAAGCGGCAGUGUAGGAUUUGAAAUAUUUACUCCUUGGGUUCAUACAAGACUUCUCCUCAAGUUCAUUUCUCUGUAAUUAAAAAAAGAAUCGAAAGAAGAAAAAAAAAAAACCAGAGCUGCAUGUGGAAAAGUAGGACUUUUAGGAAAGUCCACUCCCGUGUAAGAGAGCUGGAUUCCAAACAAACUACGCAGUUGGUCGAUGUCACCGCAGUAAUAAAAUCCAAUUAAAUACAAAAAAUGUCAACUUUCGCAGAAAAACUAGAAACACUUAUAAUCUUAACUUCUAGAGAACGGAUUAAAAUUAGUCACUCAAUAGCAUAUUAACCUUGAAAGGAAUGCGAACUGCACACGUGCACAGAAAAUGUUUUUGAUAUAUACAA
Molecule: long non-coding RNA, 5947 nt
Organism: Ictalurus punctatus (channel catfish)
Lineage: Eukaryota; Metazoa; Chordata; Actinopteri; Siluriformes; Ictaluridae
Source: Ensembl